GACGAACGCUGGCGGCGUGCUUAACACAUGCAAGUCGAACGGUGAAGCGCCUUCCUUUUUGGUGGGUGUGGAUGAGUGGCGAACGGGUGAGUAACACGUGAGUAACCUGCCCCCUUCUUCUGGAUAACCGCAUGAAAGUGUGGCUAAUACGGGAUAUUCUGGGUCUGUCGCAUGAUGGGUCUGGGAAAGAUCUUGUUUCGGCGGGUGAUGGGCUCGCGGCCUAUCAGCUUGUUGGUGGGGUGAUGGCCUACCAAGGCGGUGACGGGUAGCCGGCCUGAGAGGGUGGACGGAAGCGCUGGUACUGAGACGCGGGCCGGACGCCGACGGGAGGCAGCGGUGGGGAUUAGUGGACAAUGGGCGGAAGGCUGAUGCAGCGCCGCCGCGUGUGGGAUGUAGGCCUUCGGGUUGUGAACCUCUUUCGCCAGUGAAGCAGGACUGCCUCGUUUGUGGGUGGGUUGACGGUAGCUGGAUAAGAAGCGCCGGCUAACUACGUG
This 494-nucleotide ribosomal RNA is filed under the name uncultured bacterium. RNAcentral's name for it is "partial 16S ribosomal RNA". It matches the Rfam family "Bacterial small subunit ribosomal RNA", at positions 28 to 507 of the family's 1533-position model. The record is from RNAcentral.